CACUCAGCUUUCUGAAAUGGUGUCCCACCACAAGGACUGGAGAAGGGCACCCUUGGAAAUGCAAUGCUAUAUCUCAAUGGGAUUUUCCAGUACAGAGAUUCUUUUCAAUAACAUAAUUGUGGAUACACACCACUCCUGUAGUGACACAAAGCAAAUUUGAGCGAUUUUCUUAUUUGAGUUCAAAAUGGGCUGUAAAGCGGUGGAGACAACUCGCAACAUCAACAAUCCAUUUGGCCCAGGAACUGCUAAGGAAUGUACAGUGGAGUGGUGGUUCAAGAAGUCUGGCAAAGGAGAUGAGAGCCUUGAAGAUGAGGAGUGUAGUGGCUGACCACUGGAAAUUGACAACAACCAAUUAAGAGCGGUCAUCGAAGCUGAUCCUCUUACAAUGACACAAGAAGUUGCCAAAGAACUCAGUGUUGACCGUUCUUUGGUCAUUCAGCAUUUGAAGCAAAUUGGGAAGGUGAAAAAGCUUGGUAAGUGGGUGCCUCAUGAGCUGAGCGAAAAUUUUUAAAAAAUCAUUGUUUUGAAGUGCUGUCUUCUCUUAUUCUACGUGACAACAAUGAACCAUUUCUCUAUCAGAUAGUGAUGUGCAAGGAAAAGUGGAUUUUAUAUGACAAUUGGUGAUGACCAGCUCAGUGGUUGGACAAAGAAGAAACUCCAAAACACUUCCCAAAACCAAACUUGCACCAAAAAAAGGUCAUGGUCACCAUUUGGUGAUCUGCUGCUGGUGUGAUCCACUACAGCUUUCUGAACCCCAGCAAAUCAUUACAUCUGAAAAGUAUGCUCAGCAAAUUGAUGAGAUGUACUGAAAAC
This 813-nucleotide long non-coding RNA is filed under the name Pongo abelii (Sumatran orangutan). Its description in RNAcentral is "lincRNA". Lineage: Eukaryota; Metazoa; Chordata; Mammalia; Primates; Hominidae. The record is from RNAcentral.